UAGGGAAUAUUGCGCAAUGGGCGAAAGCCUGACGCAGCGACACCGUGUGAAGGAUGAAGGUCUUCGGAUUGUAAACUUCUGUCAGUUGGGGACGAAGGUACUGAGGUUAGUAGCCCGCAGUAUUGACGGUACCUAAUAAGGAAGUCUCGGCUUACUCCGUGCCAGCAGCCGCGGUAAGACGGGGGAGGCAAGCGUUGUCCGGAAUUAUUGGGCGUAAAGAGCGCGUAGGUGGUUUAUCAAGUCAUUUGUGAAAACUUUAGGCUUAACUUAAAGAUUGCAAGUGAUACUGAUAUACUUGAGCACAGCAGAGGAAAGUGGAAUUCCUGGUGUAGCGGUAAAAUGCGCAGAUAUCAGGAAGAACACCAGUGGCGAAGGCGGCUUUCUGGGCUGUUGCUGACACUGAGGCGCGAAAGCUAAGGGAGCAAACAG
RNAcentral lists this ribosomal RNA (429 nucleotides) under uncultured bacterium. RNAcentral describes it as "bacterial SSU rRNA". It matches the Rfam family "Bacterial small subunit ribosomal RNA", at positions 355 to 775 of the family's 1533-position model. The record is from RNAcentral.